Molecule: ribosomal RNA, 212 nt
Filed under: uncultured bacterium
Lineage: Bacteria
Description: partial 16S ribosomal RNA
Rfam family: Bacterial small subunit ribosomal RNA
Source: RNAcentral
AACCUGCCUUGGAGUGGGGAAUAACACAGUGAAAAUUGUGCUAAUACCGCAUAAUGCAGUUGGGUCGCAUGACUCUGACUGCCAAAGAUUUAUCGCUCUGAGAUGGCCUCGCGUCUGAUUAGCUAGUUGGUGGGGUAACGGCCCACCAAGGCGACGAUCAGUAGCCGGACUGAGAGGUUGGCCGGCCACAUUGGGACUGAGACACGGCCCAG